This 586-nucleotide ribosomal RNA is filed under the name uncultured bacterium. RNAcentral's name for it is "bacterial SSU rRNA". The stretch from base 1 to 522 matches the Rfam family "Bacterial small subunit ribosomal RNA", at positions 338 to 873 of the family's 1533-position model. The record is from RNAcentral.
CCUACGGGAGGCAGCAGUGGGGAAUAUUGCACAAUGGGCGAAAGCCUGAUGCAGCAACGCCGCGUGAGGGAUGACGGCCUUCGGGUUGUAAACCUCUUUUAGUAGGGAAGAAGCGAAAGUGACGGUACCUGCAGAAAAAGCACCGGCUAACUACGUGCCAGCAGCCGCGGUAAUACGUAGGGUGCAAGCGUUGUCCGGAAUUAUUGGGCGUAAAGAGCUCGUAGGCGGUUUGUCGCGUCUGCUGUGAAAUCCCGAGGCUCAACCUCGGGCUUGCAGUGGGUACGGGCAGACUAGAGUGCGGUAGGGGAGAUUGGAAUUCCUGGUGUAGCGGUGGAAUGCGCAGAUAUCAGGAGGAACACCGAUGGCGAAGGCAGAUCUCUGGGCCGUAACUGACGCUGAGGAGCGAAAGCAUGGGGAGCGAACAGGAUUAGAUACCCUGGUAGUCCAUGCCGUAAACGUUGGGCGCUAGAUGUACGGUACCUUCACGGUUUCUGUGUCGUAGCUACGCAUUAGCGCCCCGCUGGGNGACGCGCGAGACGUAACUAAUAGAUAGNGCGNGAGAGNGCGACGACGACGACGAGGAGAG